Molecule: ribosomal RNA, 458 nt
Filed under: uncultured bacterium
Lineage: Bacteria
Description: partial 16S ribosomal RNA
Rfam family: Bacterial small subunit ribosomal RNA
Source: RNAcentral
CCUACGGGUGGCAGCAGUGAGGAAUAUUGGUCAAUGGGCGAGAGCCUGAACCAGCCAAGUCGCGUGAGGGAGUACUGCCCUAUGGGUUGUAAACCUCUUUUGUCGGGGAGCAAAAGCCGGACGUGUCCGGCUGUGAGAGUACCCGAAGAAAAAGCAUCGGCUAACUCCGUGCCAGCAGCCGCGGUAAUUCGGAGGAUGCGAGCGUUAUCCGGAUUUAUUGGGUUUAAAGGGUGCGCAGGCGGAUUUUUAAGUCAGCGGUAAAAUCGUGGGGCUCAACCCCAUCCAGCCGGUGAAACUGGGGAUCUAGAGUGUGCGAGAGGUAUGCGGAAUGCGUGGUGUAGCGGUGAAAUGCAUAGAUAUCACGCAGAACCCCGAUUGCGAAGGCAGCAUACCGGUGCACAACUGACGCUCAGGCACGAAAGCGUGGGUAUCGAACAGGAUUAGAUACCCUUGUAGUC